GCCUACGGGACGCAGCAGUGAGGAAUAUUGGUCAAUGGGCGCGAGCCUGAACCAGCCAAGUCGCGUGAGGGAAGACGGUCCUAUGGGUUGUAAACCUCUUUUGUCGGAGAACAAAACCCGGGACGAGUCCCGGACUGCGUGUAUCCGAAGAAAAAGCAUCGGCUAACUCCGUGCCAGCAGCCGCGGUAAUACGGAGGAUGCGAGCGUUAUCCGGAUUUAUUGGGUUUAAAGGGUGCGUAGGCGGUCUGUUAAGUCAGCGGUAAAAUUGCGGGGCUCAACCCCGUCGAGCCGUUGAAACUGGCAGG
RNAcentral lists this ribosomal RNA (305 nucleotides) under uncultured bacterium. Its description in RNAcentral is "bacterial SSU rRNA". It matches the Rfam family "Bacterial small subunit ribosomal RNA", at positions 337 to 640 of the family's 1533-position model. The record is from RNAcentral.